RNAcentral lists this ribosomal RNA (301 nucleotides) under uncultured bacterium. RNAcentral describes it as "partial 16S ribosomal RNA". It matches the Rfam family "Bacterial small subunit ribosomal RNA", at positions 509 to 807 of the family's 1533-position model. The record is from RNAcentral.
CAGUAGCCGCGGGAAUACAGAGGAUGCAGGCGUUAUCCGGAAUGAUUGGGCGUAAAGCGUCUGUAGGUGGCUUUUCAAGUCCGCUGUCAAAUCCCAGGGCUCAACCCUGGACAGGCGGUGGAAACUACCAAGCUAGAGUACGGUAGGGGCAGAGGGAAUUUCCAGUGGAGCGGUGAAAUGCGUUGAGAUCGGAAAGAACACCAACGGCGAAAGCACUCUGCUGGGCCGACACUGACACUGAGAGACGAAAGCUAGGGGAGCAAAUGGGAUUAGAUACCCCCGUAGUCCCUGUCUCUUAUAC